Harmonia axyridis is the source of this 885-nucleotide long non-coding RNA. RefSeq lists it as uncharacterized. The record is from RefSeq and is a predicted model, not a curated record. Lineage: Eukaryota; Metazoa; Arthropoda; Insecta; Coleoptera; Coccinellidae. The transcript is spliced from 3 exons.
UUGAUUAACACUAUUAGAUUCAUAAAAAUAUCACUCAUGUGCUCACUUAUUCAACUAGCAGAAAGUAAUAAUCUGUGCUGUGUAUUCUGAGGUAAGAUUUCAAGAAUGGUUGCGAACGAGGCAGGUUGAGAUUCGUGAAGAUAUUAUAUAUGAUGUUGGGAAAGUGAUAUUUGUUGCCUGAAUUGAUCAAGAAUCGCGAACAAAAUUCUUAUCAGUAGGUAUUAUGAAUUUUGUUCUUCGAAAUAGCAUUCUAGCCUGUCGGGGUUAUGUAAUGAAUCUGCAGAUACUGCUGAAAACAUUCGAAUUAUGGGUGGUUGAGCUUUGUAGUGUUGAGAUGAUGUUUUGAUAUAUUCUAACCCACCAGGUACAGCAGCGUGUAGUGUAGGGUCUAGCUGAUGGAGGACGGAUCUCCCAAGACCAUAAGUGAUAUCUCAACUCUUGAAGCACCCCUCAGUUGGAUUGGAUACAUUCCUGAAAUAUUUGAGAUCUCGAGAUAUCUCAUAGAAGAAGAGCAAGAUAGUUCAGUUCGAAGACAGUACUGAUAUACUUUUCCACCCUCCAAAGAAUGACGGGACAACUCCAGAAGAACAUGGAUGAAGAAAAUAAUGUCAUGCUCAAGCAAUUUUCUUCAGAGAAAUUCAGAAAAUUUGUUGGAGAAAUAUGUCUUAAACAGUUGAGGAACACCAAUUGGAGUACCCAGGCAGAUUAUUUAGAAUAUUUAUAUCUGCAAUUGGAGGAUUGUGCAGCGUAAUGAACAUUACUGAAUUCAAAAAUAAAUAUGACAGAUUUAGAUUUUUUAUGCAUCGUCCGAAAUAGCAUAUUGUGAGAUAUUUAGGUUGGUAAUGUCAUAGCGUUCAUGUGGUUUAGAAUAAUAAAGCUAUAUUA